Molecule: ribosomal RNA, 300 nt
Filed under: uncultured archaeon
Lineage: Archaea
Description: bacterial SSU rRNA
Rfam family: Bacterial small subunit ribosomal RNA (bases 52-300)
Source: RNAcentral
CUGUGGUGUGGCACGGGAGGGGCGGAAAACGUGAGGGCAGCGGGCGUGUGCGGAAUGAUCGGGGGUAGAGAGGUCGUAGGCGGGUGGGCGCGGCUGCUGGGAAAAUGCGGGGCUUAGCUCCGCACGUGCAGUGGGUACGUGCAGGCUAGAGUGCGGUAGGGGGGACUGGAAUUCCUGGUGUAGCGGUGGAAUGCGCAGAUAUCAGGAGGAACACCGAUGGCGAAGGCAUGUCACUGGGCCGUUACUGACGCUGAGGAGCGAAAGCAUGGGGAGCGAACAGGAUUAGAUACCCCGGUAGUC